This 255-nucleotide ribosomal RNA is filed under the name uncultured bacterium. Its description in RNAcentral is "partial 16S ribosomal RNA". It matches the Rfam family "Bacterial small subunit ribosomal RNA", at positions 524 to 776 of the family's 1533-position model. The record is from RNAcentral.
UACGUAGGGUGCAAGCGUUUGUCCGGAAUUAUUGGGCGUAAAGCGCGCGCAGGCGGUUUCUUAAGUCUGAUGUGAAAGCCCACGGCUUAACCGUGGAAGGUCAUUGGAAACUGGGAGACUUGAGUGCAGAAGAGAAGAGCGGAAUUCCACGUGUAGCGGUGAAAUGCGUAGAGAUGUGGAGGAACACCAGUGGCGAAGGCGGCUCUUUGGUCGUGUAACUGACGCUGAGGCGCGAAAGCGUGGGGAUCAAACAGG